UCGCAGCUUACCAUGCAGUCGAGCGGUAACAGGGGGUGCUUGCACCCCGCUGACGAGCGGCGGACGGGUGAGUAAUGCAUAGGAAUCUGCCCAGUAGUGGGGGAUAGCCCGGGGAAACCCGGAUUAAUACCGCAUACGCCCUUUGGGAGAAAGCAGGGGAUCUUCGGACCUUGCGCUAUUGGAUGAGCCUAUGUCGGAUUAGCUAGUUGGUGGGGUAAAGGCCUACCAAGGCGACGAUCCGUAGCUGGUCUGAGAGGAUGAUCAGCCACAUCGGGACUGAGACACGGCCCGAACUCCUACGGGAGGCAGCAGUGGGGAAUAUUGGACAAUGGGGGCAACCCUGAUCCAGCCAUGCCGCGUGUGUGAAGAAGGCUUUCGGGUUGUAAAGCACUUUCAGUGAGGAGGAAAACCUUCUGGUUAAUACCCAUGAGGCUUGACGUUACUCACAGAAGAAGCACCGGCUAACUCCGUGCCAGCAGCCGCGGUAAUACGGAGGGUGCAAGCGUUAAUCGGAAUUACUGGGCGUAAAGCGCGCGUAGGUGGUUUGAUAAGCGAGAUGUGAAAGCCCCGGGCUUAACCUGGGAACGGCAUUUCGAACUGUCAGGCUAGA
RNAcentral lists this ribosomal RNA (610 nucleotides) under Marinobacter sp. RNAcentral describes it as "bacterial SSU rRNA". It matches the Rfam family "Bacterial small subunit ribosomal RNA", at positions 44 to 645 of the family's 1533-position model. Lineage: Bacteria; Pseudomonadati; Pseudomonadota; Gammaproteobacteria; Pseudomonadales; Marinobacteraceae. The record is from RNAcentral.